RNAcentral lists this ribosomal RNA (473 nucleotides) under uncultured bacterium. Its description in RNAcentral is "bacterial SSU rRNA". It matches the Rfam family "Bacterial small subunit ribosomal RNA", at positions 328 to 793 of the family's 1533-position model. The record is from RNAcentral.
CUCGUAGACUCCUACGGGAGGCAGCAUGGGGAAUAUUGCACAAUGGGGGAAACCCUGAUGCAGCCAUGCCGCGUGUGUGAAGAAGGCCUUCGGGUUGUAAAGCACUUUCAGUAGGGAGGAAGGUAGUGUAGUUAACACCUGCGCUAUUUGACGUUACCUACAGAAGAAGCACCGGCUAACUCCGUGCCAGCAGCCGCGGUAAUACGGAGGGUGCGAGCGUUAAUCGGAAUUACUGGGCGUAAAGCGCAUGCAGGCGGCCUGUUAAGUCAGAUGUGAAAGCCCCGGGGCUUAACCUCGGAAUUGCAUUUAGAAACUGGCAGGCUAGAGUCUUGUAGAGGGGGUAGAAUUUCAGGUGUAGCGGUGAAAUGCGUAGAGAUCUGAAGGAAUACCAGUGGCGAAGGCGGCCCCCUGGACAAAGACUGACGCUCAGAUGCGAAAGCGUGGGGAGCAAACAGGAUUAGAUACCCUGGUAG